This 128-nucleotide non-coding RNA is filed under the name uncultured Ochromonas. Lineage: Eukaryota; Chrysophyceae; Chromulinales; Chromulinaceae. The record is from RNAcentral.
UUCUUAAUCUUUGCGUAUAUGUUAUUAUCAGCAGUUGUGAUAUUAAAUGGAUUGAUUGGAAUCUUUGGAGGAGCAUUUGUAAGUGCAGUAGACGAUUCACCAUCAUCAAACUCUGAUCCUGACACACU